CGGAGGGAGCGCGUAUGAUGCUGGUCUCAGCGGAAGAGGGAGCUUGCUCCCGGAUGUUAGCGGCGGACGGGUGAGUAACACGUGGGUAACCUGCCUGUAAGACUGGGAUAACUCCGGGAAACCGGAGCUAAUACCGGAUAGUUCCUUGAACCGCAUGGUUCAAGGAUGAAAGACGGUUUCGGCUGUCACUUACAGAUGGACCCGCGGCGCAUUAGCUAGUUGGUGAGGUAACGGCUCACCAAGGCGACGAUGCGUAGCCGACCUGAGAGGGUGAUCGGCCACACUGGGACUGAGACACGGCCCAGACUCCUACGGGAGGCAGCAGUAGGGAAUCUUCCGCAAUGGACGAAAGUCUGACGGAGCAACGCCGCGUGAGUGAUGAAGGUUUUCGGAUCGUAAAGCUCUGUUGUUAGGGAAGAACAAGUGCAAGAGUAACUGCUUGCACCAUGACGGUACCUAACCAGAAAGCCACGGCUAACUACGUGCCAGCAGCCGCGGUAAUACGUAGGUGGCAAGCGUUGUCCGGAAUUAUUGGGCGUAAAGGGCUCGCAGGCGGUUUCUUAAGUCUGAUGUGAAAGCCCCCGGCUCAACCGGGGAGGGUCAUUGGAGACUGGGAAACUUGAGUGCAAAAAGGAGAGUGAAUUCCCCGUGUACCGUGAAAUGCGUAUAGAUGUGAGAGACACCGGUGACGAAGCCACUUGUCUGGUCUGUGACUGACCCUGAGAGCAAGGCGCGGGCGACGGAACUGAC
Molecule: ribosomal RNA, 750 nt
Filed under: Bacillus sp. NOD1
Lineage: Bacteria; Bacillati; Bacillota; Bacilli; Caryophanales; Bacillaceae
Description: bacterial SSU rRNA
Rfam family: Bacterial small subunit ribosomal RNA
Source: RNAcentral